Podarcis lilfordi (Lilford's wall lizard) is the source of this 69-nucleotide non-coding RNA. The record is from the annotation of a GenBank genome assembly. Lineage: Eukaryota; Metazoa; Chordata; Lepidosauria; Squamata; Lacertidae.
UAUUUGUGUGUGUGUGUGUGUGUGUGUAUAAAAUAUUUUAUACACACAAACACACACACAUAUACAGUG